AGGAUGAACGCUGGCGGCGUGCCUAAUACAUGCAAGUCGAGCGGUAAGGCCACUUCGGUGGUACACGAGCGGCGGACGGCUGAGUAACACGUAGGAACGUACCCCAAAGUGAGGCAUAAGCACCAGAAAUGGUGUCUAAUACCGCAUGUGGCCUAACAGGCUAAAGCUCCGGCGCUUUGGGAACGGCCUGCGCAUGAUUAGCUUGUUGGUGAGGUAAAAGCUCACCAAGGCAGUGAUCAUUAGCUGGUCUGAGAGGAUGACCAGCCAGACUGGGACUGAGAACGGCCCAGACUCCUACGGGAGGCAGCAGUAGGGAAUUUUCCACAAUGGGCGAAAGCCUGAUGGAGCAACGCCGCGUGCAGGAUGAAGGCUCUAGGGUCGUAAACUGCUUUUAUCUGUGACGAAUAUGACGGUAGCAGAUGAAUAAGGAUCGGCUAACGUCCGUGCCAGCAGCCGCGGU
This 460-nucleotide ribosomal RNA is filed under the name uncultured bacterium. RNAcentral describes it as "SSU rRNA". It matches the Rfam family "Bacterial small subunit ribosomal RNA", at positions 26 to 521 of the family's 1533-position model. The record is from RNAcentral.